This 443-nucleotide ribosomal RNA is filed under the name uncultured bacterium. RNAcentral describes it as "partial 16S ribosomal RNA". It matches the Rfam family "Bacterial small subunit ribosomal RNA", at positions 338 to 795 of the family's 1533-position model. The record is from RNAcentral.
CCUACGGGGUGCAGCAGUGGGGAAUAUUGCACAAUGUGGGAAACCCUGAUGCAGCAACGCCGCGUGAAGGAAGACGGUUUUCGGAUUGUAAACUUCUAUCAAUAGGGAAGAAAGAAAUGACGGUACCUAAAUAAGAAGCCCCGGCUAACUACGUGCCAGCAGCCGCGGUAAUACGUAGGGGGCAAGCGUUAUCCGGAAUUACUGGGUGUAAGGGGAGAGUAGGCGGCAAGGUAAGCGAUAUGUGAAAGCCUUAAGCUUAACUUAAGGAUGGCAUAACGAACUAUCUAGCUAGAGUACAGGAGAGGAAAGCGGAAUUCCUAGUGUAGCGGUGAAAUGCGUAGAUAUUAGGAAGAACACCAGUGGCGAAGGCGGCUUUCUGGACUGAAACUGACGCUGAGGCUCGAAAGCGUGGGGAGCGAACAGGAUUAGAUACCCCUGUAGUC